UACAGAGGGUGCAAGCGUUGCUCGGAAUCAUUGGGCGUAAAGGGUUGGUAGGUGGUCUCAUUUGUCGGGGGUGAAAGCCUUGGGCUUAACCCAAGAAGUGCCUUCGAAACGGUGAGACUAGAGUUCUGGAGAGGCUAGGGGAAUUCCCGGUGUAGCGGUGAAAUGCGUAGAGAUCGGGAGGAACACCAGAGGCGAAGGCGCCUAGCUGGACAGAUACUGACACUCAACAACGAAAGCGUGGGGAGCAAACAGG
Molecule: ribosomal RNA, 253 nt
Filed under: uncultured bacterium
Lineage: Bacteria
Description: partial 16S ribosomal RNA
Rfam family: Bacterial small subunit ribosomal RNA
Source: RNAcentral